Long non-coding RNA from Pseudopipra pipra, 2045 nucleotides. RefSeq lists it as uncharacterized. The transcript has 2 exons. The record is from RefSeq and is a predicted model, not a curated record. NCBI's taxonomy places the organism in Eukaryota, Metazoa, Chordata, Aves, Passeriformes, Pipridae.
UCCUUCUCCUUCUCUUUCCUUCUCCUUCCUUUCUCUCCUUACUCCAUUUUUUUCCUGUUCCUUCCUAUCCUUCUUCGUUUUGCUUGUUUCUUCUUCUCCUUGCACCUUCUUCUCCUCCUUCCUUCUCCUUUUUCAUUCCUCCUCUUCUUCCUUUUCCUUUCUCACCUUCUUCCUCUCCGUUUUCCUCUCCUUGCUCCUUCCUCUCCUUGCUUCCUCCUCAACUUGUUCCUUCCUCUCCCUCAUUCCUUCUUCUUGUUCCCUUUUCUCCUUCUUCCUUCUCCUUGUUCCUUCCUCUCCUCUGUUCCUCCCUCUCCUUGUCCUUCCUCCCCCAGACAACAACUUGAGGACAGAGACCAUGGAGGACAAAUCCCCCUGGCAGAACCUCAUGGAAGAGGCUGUUUUGAACAGCUCCACUGUACAGGAAAGCAAUGGGGAGGAAAAGCCGCAAACAUUCCCCAUGGGAAAGGGCUCCAAACCCGCUCCAUGGUGCUUUGAGGAGGAAAGACCCCCCAUGUGCUUGGAAGGUGGCUGGAGCUUCAGCCAGAGCUCUGAUCUGGUGGUCCAUGAGCAGCUUCACAGCAGAGAGAAGCCCUUCACGUGCUUGGAAUGUGGGAAGAGCUUCAGCUGGAGGUCCCACCUGAUCCACCACCAGAAGAUCCACACUGGGGAACGGCCCUACACAUGUGGGGAGUGUGGGAAGAGCUUCAAUCAGAGCUCUGCCUUGACCUCACACCAAAGGACCCACCAGUAAGGGAAGCCAUCUGAGUGCCCCAACUGCGGGAAGAGCUUCGUCCGCUGCUCCAACUCCAUCACCCAUCGGAGGACCCAUGUUGGAUGAUCCACAGUGACUCACAUUGGGCAGAGACCUGGUGGGUAAAGGCCUGUUGACCAACGUUUCUGGUGACCCAUGUUCCUUGUAACCCACUGUGGUAGUGCUUUACGCCCUCCCCCAGGCCUCGCUAUGAUCUGAGAAAUGCUCGUUAGGCCUCGGCCUUGAUGAACAGCCCCUGGGCUGAGCUGCUUUUGAACUGCUCAGAAACACUGUCUGCUCAUAGGAACUGAUGCUGUCUAAUGAGCUCCUUCUUUUCUUACACAACGGCCUUGGAAACUUGUUUUUCUUGCCCAAAGAACAACCCAAGUGGAAUCGUAUUUUUGUUCUCCAACUUUCAGAGAAAGUCCCUAACCUGAACUGGAGCCAGGAUGGACAGUUCCUGUGCCUUAAAGCCCCCUCUGCGUGGGCCCCAUAACCAGCAGUGCUGAUUGAGACCCUUUGAGCUCUCUGAGGCCACAGCAGCCACGACAGCAACCUCCCUUUGCUUGGGCCUCUCAGAGCCCCCAACUCUCCCAUUUGCUGCACUCAGAGGAUCCUGACCGACAGCAGAUCCGGGGCUGAUCCCUCUCACUCCUUGAAGCUCAGCCGUUCUUCUGAGAAUGUGCAAUGGCAUCCCAAGGGAGGAUUUUCCUGAAUCCCAAGGGAAUUGUUCCCAGAGCAUGACAACGGACCUCUGAUGCUGAAAGGGACAGAGAGGAAAAACAUAAUCGACAACAGUGCUGAACCAACAGCUCUUGCGGGGAAGCUGCCAGCAGGGACAGAGUGGUGACAAGGUGAUCCCCCCUCAGGCUGAGCUUCUGAAGCGAGAGAAAAGGAGGCCUGCGCAGGACUGCACCUCAAGGAGCGGCUGCAUGGCACUACCAGGAUGGCCCAGCUCCUGGGGUUUGGUUUGUCCUUGUUUUCAGGCUGAGGGGAUGGGAAAUGUUAGCCUUGGCACAUUGCUGUGUUAGCUCCCUGAGCACAUUGCCUUAAUUUCCCAAAUACCACUUGGCACAGCAUGCGGAAGCUGCCCCACCACAUUGCCUUUGUCUGGGGACACUAUGCUGACACAUCCCACGAGGAGCACCUGCCAUCUUGUUUGUGUGCCCAGUGGUGAAUACCUUUUGGGGGUGAAACACUUUCUUUUUUUGUAUACUUUUGCUCUUAAUAUUGCUGUUGUUACUGUGCGUGUCUUAUUCCAUUGCUGUGUGCUUUCAGAAAAUUGUUAUCUGAA